Molecule: ribosomal RNA, 428 nt
Filed under: uncultured bacterium
Lineage: Bacteria
Description: bacterial SSU rRNA
Rfam family: Bacterial small subunit ribosomal RNA
Source: RNAcentral
UAGGGAAUUUUCCGCAAUGGGCGCAAGCCUGACGGAGCAAUGCCGCGUGAGGGAAGAAGGCCUUCGGGUCGUAAACCUCUUUCGUUUGGGAAGAAUGCGUUGAACAAGAAACGGUUCAGCGUUGACGGUACCAGAGGAAGAAGCCCCGGCUAAUUACGUGCCAGCAGCCGCGGUAAUACGUAAGGGGCAAGCGUUGUCCGGAAUCACUGGGCGUAAAGGGCGCGUAGGCGGUUCGUUAAGUCGGGAGUGAAAGCGCUGGGCCUAACCCAGCAACGGCUCUCGAGACUGACGAGCUAGAGGGUCCUAGGGGAUUGUGGAAUUCCAGGUGUAGCGGUGAAAUGCGUAGAUAUCUGGGAGAACACCCGUGGCGAAGGCGGCAAUCUGGGGGACACCUGACGCUGAGGCGCGAAAGCUAGGGGAGCGAACGG